GUGGCGUACCAGUGCCGCAGUACUGAGCAGUGUACUGUGGCCUCCAUGACGCCACCUAGAGAGAGGCUGGUUCCUGCCGACAGGGUCUGUGAAGACUCAGGUUCCCCUGUGCGAUGGUUCCAUACACU
Non-coding RNA from Osmerus eperlanus (European smelt), 128 nucleotides. NCBI's taxonomy places the organism in Eukaryota, Metazoa, Chordata, Actinopteri, Osmeriformes, Osmeridae. The record is from RefSeq and is a predicted model, not a curated record.